RNAcentral lists this transfer RNA (80 nucleotides) under Eubacterium pyruvativorans. It matches the Rfam family "tRNA". Rfam says of the family: Transfer RNA (tRNA) molecules are approximately 80 nucleotides in length. Their secondary structure includes four short double-helical elements and three loops (D, anti-codon, and T loops). Further hydrogen bonds mediate the characteristic L-shaped molecular structure. tRNAs have two regions of fundamental functional importance: the anti-codon, which is responsible for specific mRNA codon recognition, and the 3' end, to which the tRNAs corresponding amino acid is attached (by aminoacyl-tRNA synthetases). tRNAs cope with the degeneracy of the genetic code in two manners: having more than one tRNA (with a specific anti-codon) for a particular amino acid; and 'wobble' base-pairing, i.e. permitting non-standard base-pairing at the 3rd anti-codon position. The record is from Rfam by way of RNAcentral. Lineage: Bacteria; Bacillati; Bacillota; Clostridia; Eubacteriales; Eubacteriaceae.
GCGCGAUUGGCGGAACUGGCAGACGCGCCAGAUUUAGGUUCUGGUGGGAGACUGUGUGGGUUCGAGUCCCACAUCGCGCA